This 241-nucleotide long non-coding RNA is filed under the name Elaeis guineensis (African oil palm). RNAcentral's name for it is "long non-coding RNA (EGUI_LNC045042)". Lineage: Eukaryota; Viridiplantae; Streptophyta; Magnoliopsida; Arecales; Arecaceae. The record is from RNAcentral.
CCUGUUUGGAUCCGAGAGGUAAUGUAUUAAGGACAGUUCCUCUUUCAGUGUCCCCGCUUCUUGCAAAAGAAGCAUUCAGCUUGACUCUUAUCGGGCUUGAUCUUUCUGGUCUAGCCCUGCACUGUUGUCCCUGUCUGAACUUGCACCUUUUUCACUUUCUUCUUCUUGUUCUUCUUCUCUUUCUCAAAGGGUCGAGAACCAGAAGAUGAACCUCCCACUAAGUUCACCGACUCCUUAUGGA